RNAcentral lists this ribosomal RNA (475 nucleotides) under unidentified nematode Sourhope farm. RNAcentral describes it as "SSU rRNA". It matches the Rfam family "Eukaryotic small subunit ribosomal RNA", at positions 58 to 529 of the family's 1831-position model. Lineage: Eukaryota; Metazoa; Nematoda. The record is from RNAcentral.
UCUAAGUAUAACCUGCCAGACAGGGAAACUGCGUACGGCUCAUUACACCAGCCUUAAUUUACUUGACCUUGACAACCUACUUGGAUAACUGUGGUAAUUCUAGAGCUAAUACAUGCACCAAAGCUCCGAUCCUCGCGGAGAGGAGCGCAUUUGUUCGCCACAAAACCAAGCGACCAUCUGGGCGUCCAGUGCUGAACCAGAACAACUCAGCUGAUCGCACGGUCUUGUACCGGCGACGUGUCUUUCAAGUGUCUGCCUUAUCAACUUUCGAUGGUAGUGUACCUGACUACCAUGGUUGUGACGGGUAACGGAGGAUAAGGGUUCGACUCCGGAGAAGGGGCCUGAGAAAUGGCCACUACGUCUAAGGAUGGCAGCAGGCGCGCAAAUUACCCACUCUCAACGCGAGGAGGUAGUGACGAGAAAUAACGAGACCGUUCUCAUACGAGGCCGGUUAUUGGAAUGGGUACAAUUUAAA